Molecule: non-coding RNA, 9922 nt
Organism: Peromyscus maniculatus bairdii (prairie deer mouse)
Lineage: Eukaryota; Metazoa; Chordata; Mammalia; Rodentia; Cricetidae
Source: RefSeq, a predicted model, not a curated record
UGCACACAUUGGAGGCAGAGUUUGCUGCGGGCUCUGUCUCCCUAAUAGACUGGCGAUUUUGUAAAAAGGUUUGAGAGGGUUUUGUUUAACCAUUUCUGCAUGUGUUUUUAAUGAGCUCAUGAUGAUUCGUAACAAAGGCCAGGUUGUGAGGUUUGCAGCCUUUUUUUUUUUUUUUUUUUCCGGACUUGAUCGCUUCCCGCUGACCUGCAGAGUGAGCACCUGUGCUCCUUGCCUGGCUCACCUAUGGGAGUCACGGUGGUGGGGCCAUCUCCGGGCCUGUCUUCAUGCCAGGGAUGAAUCAUGCAGUGGGCAGGGCGGAAGGACUCUCUUUGUUGACAGCUUUCCAUCUGGACUUUGGAUACGGCCGGCCGUUCAUGGAGAGCCUGGGUUAGCUGGGAAGGACUGCUGGAGUCAGCUCCUCGAUGAAGGCCCGGGGGCAGUAAAACUCCAGCAAAGGAACUGCCUAGCAUUUCAGCUGCAAAUUCAGAGAGGCGUCCCUCCCAGCUCCAGGUACCCAGCCUUCCAACUUGAGUCUAGCCCAAAGCCUGCACUCUAAUACAUAUCAUACUUGAUAUUAAAGUGAGAAGCGGGUAAUUUAUAGGAGCUGCGUGAGAGCUGUCUUCUUUUCAGGGCCAGCCUAUGUGGAAUCGACACCUCUGUUCAGUUUCUCCACAGAGCUUCCUUUGGACAGCUGUCAGCCACCUUGCAUCACGGGGCCUUGCAUAUGAAAAGGCUAAUUGUGAUCCUUAAGCAGCCUUCAAAGGAAAGCAUGCACAACAGACUGCUGCCCAGACUACUGCCCCUCUGAUAAGAGUCCAUGGAACCCAACUGCAAAUACUGAUCUCCUUUAUUGAAUACUGACUGAUGUGCCUUGUGAGCUCAGCGGUGGGUAGUCAAACAAUCGGAGCUGAGAACAGAGAAAGCACCUCCUCUCUACUUGUUUGGGGCCCAGAAGAGAGGUUCUGUGUCCACGAAGAACUCUGCCCUGGCACAGCCUCUGUCUCCUGGGACCUGUCCUCAGAGGGACCCUCUCCACUGACCUGGAACUUUCAGUAAAUGUCUCUUCUUGGCCUGGCUGGCUGUAAAGGCAACAAGCUGUGAGAUACACCAACUUACCGUAUAAAUCUUUGCCACCAUGUUUGAUGCGGCAUCUAGAACCAACCAAAUUCUGCCUCGAUUUGGCGGCCGAGGAGUUCAGAUUGAAGUGCCCAAAGAGAGUCUUUGGAAAAGCCACAAAGCAGGGUUUCAACUCAGUAAACUUUCUGUUCAUUGCAGGUAAGAAAAAUGAGGCUCAGAGAGGAGACAUGACUGGCCCAGAGUCACACAGCUGGCUUUUAGUGAAGACAUGAGACUUGGUAUUUUCCCCCAUGUACUUCCAUGUACAUGUACCAUGUACUCUUGGUGCUACUCAGAGCGGUAAAGGGGAUGGUUGCACCCUACAUCACCCUGGCUCAGGGAAAUGCUCAUAUUCACUUCAUGUUUGGUGGAGAAAACUACAGUGUAAUUAUUCUGACUGUGUAUGUUCCCUGGGGUACCUGUGCCUUCUAAUGGGAGCUAGACUUCCCCGGGGGCCACGUGGACAAAACCUGGCCAGCGGCCUCAGCCCGACAGACUGCAUCUCCUCUUUGUGUUAAGGACUCAGUUUAUAUUUCAUUGGCGUCCUGAGCUAGGGGGUGGGAGGUGCUUGCUUUCCUUGGGAAUGUGGAUUUGAGGUUCAUGGAGCAGGUUCCGAUCUAAGAAGGAAACAGCUUCUUACUUGCUGGAGCCUUUCUGGACUGUGUAUCAGACUCUCUGUAUUUACCACUAACUUGGUUGUUUUCAGAAGCACCUAUUUGCACAGGUCUCAAGGAGGUGUGCCUGGUGAUGUGGAUCAGGCAUCUUCCAUGCAGACUCCCAAUCUCCAGGAGGGUGCUCACAGGCCUAGAUGCUGUAGCAGAACCCCCCCACCUCUCCAUCCCCCUUUCUUGGAGUUGAGGGGGAGGUGAGAAGGGACUUGGCUCUGUGCCUGGCACACAGCGAUCCUCCGGGAAGGCGCCAGCUAUUACUACAGCUACUGUUGGUAUUACUGUCACAGCUUCCCACAGGCUGCUUCCUGCCAGAGCUGCGACCUGGAGGGGAGGGAGUGAGAUGGGAGAUAGGAGCCGUGGAGUGUGGAGGUCACUGCCUUCCCAGGCCUGGCCUGGAGAGACACACCCUGCCGCCCUUCCCAGCCUCCCUUGCUCCCUUUGCAUGGUCAUUCCUACACACCAUGGCAUUCACUACCUGCGACCUGAGUGUCUGCUCCCACUCACUUUGGGGACUGCGAGACCUACUGUGAAUUGGACAUUUGACGGUGACUCACAUCAGCUUCAGGAACGUGGUGGUUCCCAAGAACUGUGAUACAGAAGAAGCAAGACUCCCAAGGGUAAGGUGACAUGCCCAAGGUCAUACGGAGUGAUGGGUUGAACUCUGUCCAGCCCCAAAGCUGGUACUGCAGCUGCUUGCUUAGGAACGCCUGCUGCAGAGCACCAGACACACUCACCGACACUUUGCCGUCCAUGGGAGGGGAGUGAUUUUCCUUUGCGAUUCUUAGAUUCUGGGCUUCCCAGAUACCUUCCAAUGAGCUGCAUUACUAGGGGUCACUAACAGUGUGCUAGCUGUCUUAUUUAGGGUUUCUAUUGCUGUGAAGAGACACCAUGACCCCGGCAACUCUUAUAAUGGAAAAACAUUUAAUUGGGGUGGCUUGCAUUUUCAGAGGUUCAGUCCAUUAUCAUCACAGUGCAACAUGGUGGCAUGCAGGCAGACAUGGUGCUGAAGAAUUAGCCAGGUGUCCUAUAUCUUGGCUUGCAGACAACAGGAAGUGGUCUGUCUCAGUAGGUGUGGCUUAAGCAUAUAUGAGACCUCAAAGCCCGCCUCCACAGUGACACACUUCCUCCAACAAGGCUACACCUCCUAAUAGUGCCAUUCCCUUUGGGGGCCAUUUUCUUUCAAACCACCACACUAGGUAUCUCAUUUAUACUCUGUGUAACCGUGGGUAAGGGUUCUACACGGGUUUUCUUCUCUCUUUUUUUCCUGUACCCUCCCCUGCCUCUCUCUUCUUUCCUCCAUUUAUUUUGUUUGUUCUUUUGAGAUAUCAUAUUGCUGCAUGUAGCCCUGGCUGGCCUAGAACUCAUGGCAAUUCUCCCCCCUCUGAUUUUAUAAUCCAGCCCCAUUUCCUGUUCUUUCUCUGCUUCCUGACUGCUGAUGAAAUAUGAGCCUCCUGCUCAUGCCACCGUGCUUUGUCCACCAUACUAGAAAAUGGUCCCUCAAAUUGUGAGCCUGAAGGUGCCCAUCCUUUCUCAAGGCGUUUUGUCCCAGAGACAGGAGAAGUAACUAAGACAGAGAAGGCCCAUGCACAAAAAAGGCUUGCUUUAGCAGUCCAUGCUGAUACUGGGUUAAGGUGGAACCCUUAGGAGUGGGACUUAGUAGGGAAAAAGCUAGGUCCCUGUGGGUGUGACCUUGAAUGGGACCCUGGCUCCUUUCCUAGUCCCCAAUUGUUUCACAAUUGUUUGAUCUGCCAAGCGUUCCCGCCAUGAUGUGCCACCCCACCACAGGCGCCAAGGCAAGGGAACCAUGGACUGGAGAUUUCAAAAAUUGAGAGCAAAAAAGAAAAAAGAACCCUUCCCUUCAUAGACGCUGAUUAUCUCAGUGUUCUUGUUACAGGGACAGCAAGCUGACAGGACUCCCCAAGUGCCCACCUUUCUGCAUUCCAUUGCUUGCCCAGCCUGACCUCUUUCUCUGUGUCCUCUACUCCUCUUUCAAAUGCAGAGAUGUAUCGUAUCCUGAUCACAUGAGGUCUGGAGGUUACUUGAUUCAGGGCAGUGUCUUUGAGCAAAAGAACCCCCAAAAAUGCAUUACUUGGGGAAACCUCACAAAAACACAUGGAGAUGUGAACUCAUCUCUGCGAUCCCUCCUAGGAACUUGGUAAGGACCCAUGUUAGCUUGGAGACCUGAAGGCUCACCUGCACAGGCCUCUGGUGUUACAAGUUGAUCCAAAGUUCAGCUUAAUCAACACCAGGAAGUAAAAUUAAACAAAGGCAUAAAACUGAACAAAAGUGAAAACUUCUAUGAAGCCUCUUGGGUUAAGAAGCAGAGAGGUGAGCUUUGACGUCUCCUAUGAUGUGGAGGUAAGAGCAUCUAUCGACAGUCUGGGAGGAGUCAAUAAGGUAACGUGGAUGCCCUGGUCUCAUCCCUUCCUCAUAACUAGUGAAGAAACAAAGAGAUUCAUGGACUUUUUAAGUCCUCUACAAAAUCUAUCCCCAAGUCUUGUAUACACUAGGCAUUCUAUAGUUUACUGAAUGAAUGGGUGGGUGGAUGAGUCAUUUUGUCAAGAAGGAAGUUCAUCCUUGGGAGACAGCUUGGGACUCCACCUAAAUGAGUUUUCCAGUGGGGGCUGUUCAUUCUUCGUCCUUCACUGGUGGCAGUCAACAAAAAGGCAGGAAGGAUACACAUCUGGCUGAGGAAGUGGAGAUCAGCUGGGGUGGUGGGAAACUCUCUGACACAGCGAUCAGGGAGACCCUGCUUGGGCUAAUUAGGAUAUGUUAGCUUGUGCCCAAACUAGACAAGACUGUCAAGUGGAAUUCAGGAAGCUAUGUCUGAUGACCAGGUCAUGGAAUAAUGGUGGAAAUCUCCUUAUUCUUUUUGACCAUUUUGCUGCUUAGGGAGCAGUCAUUUCACAGACUUAAUCUUCUUAGGGAAGGUACCUUUCUGUUUGCUUCUCAAGGACUAUUAUAAAGACUACAUGCAAAAAAAUUAUGUAAAAACAUGUUGUAAGCCAUAAAUACCACAUAAAGGUUGUAUGUUACUGUUACUAUUAUCACCAUUUUGGACUCAUUCCUCUUCUCCUCCUCCUAGGACUCCCUCCUCCUCACCCCUGCAUUCUUCUUAAAGACCCUAUGUCCUACCAGCUUACCUGAGAUGUCCUCAACUCCACAAACAUAUGUGCUCCUUGACCCCUGUGACCAGUGUGACCAAGAUUAUCUGUACCAAUAUCUGCCUAUUCAGAUCCUGGGUAAAGAAUCUCUUCUACCACACACUUGCGCUACCCCGGUGUUCUACCCGAUAGAAGAGGACCAAGCAACCAUGGACCGAAGCCUCUGAAACCGUGGACCCAAUAAGUUUUUCAGAUUGUUUCUGUCAGAUCUGAUGUGACCAGCCAACUCAAGCUCUUGCAGUUAUGAUGUCAAUGCAGUGAUGGACUACAGCCUAAACUGUGAGCUGAAAGAAACUCUUUUCUACGAAAGUACUUGUUGUCAAGGUGUUUUACCACAGCAUCAGAAAUGACACCAGGACACAUCCUCAUUGUUAUGUUUCCAUAUAUACGCAAAUUAAUUCAUAUAUGCUAUCAAUUUGUUAACUUUGAGCUCAUGGCCAACAGUACUUUAACUCACCUGGCUGAGUUGAAACUGAGUCAAGAACAGCUUUAGGGAAGUUGUGGCGCUUGAGUGGAGUUUGGAAAAGUAGCUUCAGCGAAUGGCGAGCACACUAUUCCCAUAAUACUCGCUAGAAUCCGGGUGUGUGCCAAGGGCUCCAGAAUACAGGUUUGUGUCAUACUUAUUGGCCUGACCACUUGCUGAGCACUGGGACAGAAGCUUCACCUAAGGCCACCUGGGAAGAAGAAACCUCACUUGAAUGCCUCCAUCACAUUGGCGUGUAGGCAAGUCGGCAAGGGGCAUUUUCUUGAUUAAUGAUUGAUGUGGGGGGGCCCAGCCCACUGUGGGUGGUGCCACUCCUACCCAGGCAGACAGUCCUGGGUUGUACAACAAAGGAGGGGGAGUAAGCCCUGAGGAGAAAACGGUAAGUAGCGUUUGUUUCCCCCUGGUCUCUGAUCCUGUUCCUGCCUCCAGGUUCCUGUUCUGGCUUCUCUCAAUGAUGGACAAUAAUGCACACUCAUCGUAAACCAAAAAAAACAAAAACAAAAACAAAAACAAAAACAAAAACCCUUUCUUCUCCAAGUUGCCUUGGUCAUGGUGUUUUAUCACAGCAGUGGAAAGCAAGGUAAUAUAGCAGUGGCAGUUGUGAGGAUCAAUAACUUAUCCAAUGUUGCAUGGCAAAGAACAAAAAAAAAAAGCCGGGCAAUGGUGGCGCACGCCUUUAAUCCCAGCACUCGGGAGGCAGAGCCAGGCAGCUCUCUGUGAGUUCGAGGCCAGCCUGGGCUACCAAGUGAGUUCCAGGAAAGGCGCAGAACUACACAGAGAAACCCUGUCUCGAAAAACCAAAAAAAAAAAAAGGUUCUGAACUUGGUCUCUGACCCCCAAACUGCCAUUUAGUUUAAUUUAAUUAAUUUGAACCAGUUCAUAGUUCUCUAUUUCAUAUGAAAUCCACGCUGCCUGACUUACCCAUGGAGCCAGAGUGAAUCAUCUCACUACUGAUGGAAACAGGUUAGCAGACAACCGUUUCAUAUCAGACACGGAGCGGGUGGCCGGAGAUGGAGGGCAUGCCUCUGUCCCUUGUGUUUGACUAGCCCUCUGCUUUCCCGUGUGUUGUUAUGUCACAGGUCCUUGUAACAUCCCCAAAAACUCCUCCCUGGAAUUUUACUCACAGGACACUCAUUUUGAGGGAGGGUGAGUGAGAGAUCCCCGAGAGACAGGCAGGUGGCCAAUCAAGGCAGAAAUGGGAACUUAGACCGCAAACCUCCAGCCCAGUGUGCUCUGCCCUUGGCCUUCCAGCCAUCCUCCAGGACCAUUUGCAGGCAAAGCCAGUAGCCACUCUAUCCACAGUUUCACUUUCUGUGGUUUCAGUUACCCACAGCCAGCCACAGCUAAAAAAAAAAAAAAAAAAUUUUUUUUUUAAACGGGAAGUUCCAGAAACAAACAAUCUGUAAGUCUUAAGUGGCAGGCCAUUUUGCAUAGCAUGCUAAAAUCUCUAGACAUGAGUGUCUUCCCUUGGUUCAGACUGUCCACACUGUCCACACCACCCACCUGCUAGCCACUCGGGAGCCGUCUUCGUUAUCAAGUCAACUGUCAUAGUCACACAGUCCUCAGGGAGGCCUGUCGUAGUAGCUUACUGCCACAGCGUGGUACUUACGUCAUUUAGCUCACAUCUCUUCACAUAGCCAUUGUAUCAUCUCCCAUCACAGGAGAAAGGAUGGAUGUGUCUCGUUAAGGUAUUUGGAGAGUGAGGAAAAAGUACAUUCAUAUAAAUGUAACUUUUAAUUAUGGCAUUUGUUCCCCUUGUUGUACCUGUGAUUAAUUAAUAUUUUUUCCUGGGCCUAAUCUAUAAAUCACUGUUUCCGUAGUUGUAGAUACAAUCCUGAACAGCAUAGCUGAGAUUUGGUGCCUUCUGCUGGGUCUACACCCACAGAGAAACUUACACUAUGUGCGUGUGUGUUUGCUUGUGCAUAUGCACAUCUGUGCAGAGGGAACUGUCUGUCCCAAUCUAUUGCUCUCUGACCUGGUUCUCUUGAGACAGGCUCAUCACUGAACCUGGGACUAUGUGGACAUCCUCCUAUCUCCAUGCCGCCGCCAUGGUACCGGAGCCACAGGCAUGUGCAGCUGCGUUAGUUUUCACUAAUGCUGGGGAUUUGAACUCGGGUCCUCCUGCUCAUGCUCUUACCCGCUGAACCAUCUCUCCAACCCGACUUUCAUCCUUUGAAACUUGAGUGUACAGGCGUGCACUGGCUCCUGCCGCUCCAAGCCUCCCCCAGACACAGUUCCUGUGCCUGGGUUUGCUUUAGCAAAUGGGCGGUGUGCUGAGGCCCUCACGGGCCCCUGUCCUGCAGCAGACGUGAAGGGACACGGGGCUCUUCCUCCUUCCAGCAACAGGAGAAGGAGUGUGAGCAAGGCCCCUCCUGGUCCAUGAAGAGCUGGUCUACAGGGGAGGGAAAGACUAGAAGCUGGCUCUGUUUCCCAGAAUUAAUGGUCGGCUUCUGCCGAGGCUAUUUGCACUGUAAACGAAAUUAAACAAAAAGCAGAGAUGAAACAAAACAACUGAAAUGAUCAAAAAGCAUUCUGGCGGAGGGUGUGAAACACACUCUCCCGGCAAUGCACGUCCAAGUGUGUGCACCUAUUGGAAGAUGACUGCUGAGCAGUACCCACGAGAGGUCCCUGGUCAGGGUGACAGCAGGAGCAUGCAUUUAAAGAGGAGCCUGCCAUUCCUCGCAUUAGGAAUCGUCACACAUCCUAGUAGUAGGUAGUGAGUUUUACACGUGAUGGAGGGGCCUGAAUUCAAAAUUUUUCAAAAGGGGUCACUAAAACUCCAGCAAUUUUAUUCCAUUAAGAAGGGGCAGUUCUUAGCAUCUUUCUGUCACAUCAAGCAGUUUUGUGGUAGUCUCUUUCUAUGGAAAGCUUUGUCUAGUUUUCUAUCUGCUGUGAUAACCUCGGUUAGUCAAGCUGCCUGCCAUCCUCCCAUCUCGGGCUCUGACUUCUGUCAGCUCAUCGACACUGGGUAAGGUCAGUUCUUGGGAAGAUGUACCUGAGGGCCUCUGAAGGAUGAUGUCCUUGCUACUGGGUGAGCAGACUCUGAGAUGAUGAACUUCAUAUCCUAAAAGACCAAACAAAAUCUACAAGCGUCUUCUCCCUUUUCUAAGACCCUCCCUGCCUACAUGUGUUCAUACUGAGUGCACCUAAGUUUCCACUCCAUCGGCAGAAUUGAUCGUCGUUGUCUGCACUGAGACUUGGGUGUCUGUGGUCUUUCUUGAGCACAUUGGUGUCCUUCUCAGCAACUCUGGAAUCUUGUAAAACCAAUUUGUCUGAAGCUGCUUCAGCCAGUCCUCUCUUCAAAGCUUCGUCUUUAUUAUUUUUCUCUAGUUUUAGAAAUUUAAGGCUCAGCAGUGUUUUUAAAUGAUUUGAAGGAGCCAGCGAAAGGGAUCAGUUGAUAAAGGUAUUUGAGGCCAAGCCUGAGGACCUGAGUUCAACUCCCAAAAUUCACAUGGUGAGAACUAAUUCCCACAAGUCUUCUGACGCCCACCCUGCCCCCACGCACUUACACAGAAAGGCAUAUGCACACACAGAGGCAUAUGCACACACACACACACACACACACACACACGAAUACCACAUGCACAUGUGCACACACAAUAAAUAAAUACAUUUAAAAAUAGAAGAAUGAUGUGAAGAUUUUAUGCAUGUGCUGGACUAGUUGAUCAAAUAUUAUUGUAGAGGGAAUUAGAACCCCGGUCCUUGAGGUAGGAAAAUAGAAGGUGGUCAUAGACUUCCAUUUUACAGUUAGUACAAUGACAGGAAGUUUCUAAAUGUGACUUUGAGGUGAAGCAUAUUAUAAUUUAUCGCAUCAGAGACAUCGACAAAAUGAUGAACUUUAGUCCUGUCUACCUGGGAUCCUCAACUGGUCAAAUUCCCUACCCUGCUGGCCUGCCUAACCCCAUCUCCUAACAUAUUCUAUAUUCAAGGCAGAGACAGUAGAGCCCAAGAAAGCGAACUUAUCAUAGCUGUGACCUGGGAAAUGGGACCAGACUGAUGAGUGCUCCCUUCCUGUCUCCUCAUAAAUAAUAGUGACACAGCUAAGUCUUGUUGAGCAGUUGUUAUGUGGCAGACACUGUGCUAAGUGGCUUACGUCACUGCCUCUGGCUAGCCUCAUGGCAAUCCCACGACUACGUCAUCAUUUCUAUUGUCCUCUGUGCAGGUGAGUUUUAAGCAACUUGCUCAAAGACAAAGCUCCAGUCUGAACCCAGGUUGUACAGUCCCAGAACCCACACUCUGUCCUUCAGCAUGACUCUCAACUACAGAAAGGAAGUUUCUAGUGACAGGGAAGAGCUGAGGUUCAGGAGGACUUGCCAUCAUCUGGCAAGACGGCUCAGCAGGUAAAGGAACUUGUUGCCAAGUCCUCAAGUUCAGUCCGUGGAGUCCAUCUGGUACAAGGAAAUAACAGACUCUCCUAGGUGCCUCUACGUGCAUAUGAUGGUAUGUGUGCACCUAUCCACACAGAUAGAUAGAUAGAUAGAUAGAUA